This 253-nucleotide ribosomal RNA is filed under the name uncultured bacterium. RNAcentral's name for it is "partial 16S ribosomal RNA". It matches the Rfam family "Bacterial small subunit ribosomal RNA", at positions 524 to 776 of the family's 1533-position model. The record is from RNAcentral.
UACAGGGGGUGCAAACGUUGCUCGGAAUCAUUGGGCGUAAAGCGCACGUAGGCGGUUCGUUAUGUCGGAUGUGAAAGCCCUUGGCUUAACCGAGGAAGUGCAUCCGAAACUGGCGAGCUAGAGUACUAAAGAGGAUCGCGGAAUUCCCGGUGUAGAGGUGAAAUUCGUAGAUAUCGGGAGGAACACCGGUGGCGAAGGCGGCGAUCUGGGUAGAUGCUGACGCUGAGGUGCGAAAGCGUGGGGAGCAAACAGG